RNAcentral lists this ribosomal RNA (407 nucleotides) under uncultured bacterium. Its description in RNAcentral is "bacterial SSU rRNA". It matches the Rfam family "Bacterial small subunit ribosomal RNA", at positions 355 to 776 of the family's 1533-position model. The record is from RNAcentral.
UGGGGAAUAUUGGGCAAUGGGCGCAAGCCUGACCCAGCAACGCCGCGUGAAGGAAGAAGGCUUUCGGGUUGUAAACUUCUUUUCUCAGGGACGAAGAAAGUGACGGUACCUGAGGAAUAAGCCACGGCUAACUACGUGCCAGCAGCCGCGGUAAUACGUAGGUGGCAAGCGUUAUCCGGAUUUACUGGGUGUAAAGGGCGUGUAGGCGGGAGUGCAAGUCAGAUGUGAAAACCACGGGCUCAACCUGUGGCCUGCAUUUGAAACUGUACUUCUUGAGUACUGGAGAGGCAGACGGAAUUCCUAGUGUAGCGGUGAAAUGCGUAGAUAUUAGGAGGAACACCAGUGGCGAAGGCGGUCUGCUGGACAGCAACUGACGCUGAGGCGCGAAAGCGUGGGGAGCAAACAGG